This 856-nucleotide ribosomal RNA is filed under the name Ascagilis submersa. RNAcentral describes it as "partial large subunit ribosomal RNA". It matches the Rfam family "Eukaryotic large subunit ribosomal RNA", at positions 71 to 946 of the family's 3401-position model. Lineage: Eukaryota; Fungi; Ascomycota; Dothideomycetes; Jahnulales; Aliquandostipitaceae. The record is from RNAcentral.
GGGAUUGCCUCAGUAACGGCGAGCGAAGCGGCAAGCGCUCAGAUUUGAAAUCUGGCUCCUCCGGGGCCCGAGUUGUAAUCUGUAGGGGAUGCUUCGGAGUCGAGCCCGGCCUAAGUUCCUUGGAACAGGACGUCGCAGAGGGUGAGAAUCCCGUACGCGGCCGGUGGGCGCCUCCGUGCGAAGCUCCUCCGACGAGUCGAGUUGUUUGGGAAUGCAGCUCUAAAUGGGAGGUAAAUUUCUUCUAAAGCUAAAUACCGGCCAGAGACCGAUAGCGCACAAGUAGAGUGAUCGAAAGAUGAAAAGCACUUUGGAAAGAGAGUUAAAAAGUACGUGAAAUUGUUGAAAGGGAAGCGCUUGCGACCAGACUCGGCCGCUUCGGUUCAACCCUACCCGCGUAGGGCUCACUCCGUUGCGGUCGGGCCAGCAUCGGUUCGGGCGGCCGUUCAAAGGCGUCGGGAAUGUGGCUCCCCUCGGGGAGUGUUAUAGCCCCUCGCGCAAUGCGGCCCGCCUGGACCGAGGACCGCGCUCCGGCAAGGAUGCUGGCGUAAUGGUUGCAAGCGGCCCGUCUUGAAACACGGACCAAGGAGUCUAACAUCUAUGCGAGUGUUCGGGUGUCAAACCCCUGCGCGCAAUGAAAGUGAACGGAGGUCGGAGCCCUCGGGCGCACGAUCGACCGAUCCUGAUGUCUUCGGAUGGAUUUGAGUAAGAGCAUAAAUGUUGGGACCCGAAAGAUGUGCGAACUAUGCUUGAGUAGGCCGAAGCCAGCGGAAACGCUGGUGGAGGGUCGCAGCGGUUCUGACGUGCAAAUCGAUCGUCAAACUUGAGUAUAGGGGCGAAAGACUAAUCGAGCCAUCUA